This 589-nucleotide long non-coding RNA is filed under the name Phoenix dactylifera (date palm). RNAcentral's name for it is "long non-coding RNA (PDAC_LNC019601)". The record is from RNAcentral. Lineage: Eukaryota; Viridiplantae; Streptophyta; Magnoliopsida; Arecales; Arecaceae.
CAAGUCUUCCAGACAUUCAAGAGGAGACCCAAAGUUCAAGAAGCCCUUCUCUACUUCAUCUCAAACGUGUUUGAGGGCUCUUAACUUUUCUCUUAUAUAUAUCGCUGUAUAUCUGCUUUUUAGAAGCUCUAUUUUUCUGUUUGUCUUUGUUCUUUCCAUUUGGUUCUUACUUGAUUCAAUCAGGGGAUUGAAUCAAGGGUAUAUAGGUUUGUUGGUGAGCCUAGGUUGAAACCAACGGUGUAAGGGUUCGAUUGUGAUCCCGAAAAAACAAUCGGGCGGUUCUAGUCGGUGAGCCUGGAAAAACCGACCGAGUUCGUUGUGACCUCGUAAAACAACAAGUUGGGUUGUGAGCUUGUAAAACAACCGGCUGUAAUCCGAGGGGUCAUAGUGAAUUCCCAAGUGAGGCUUGGGGAGUGGACGUAGGAGUAAGGGUUAGCUCCGAACCACUAUAAAAUCAUUGUGUUUGUGAUUGCAUUUGUCUCUCUCACUUUCAUUUCGUUCACUGCACAUAGCAUCUAAUUAAUCAACUUGCAAAAAGGAUUAAUUAGUAUCUCACAAACCAUUUAAUUGUAAAAAUUAUUUUAAAACC